Molecule: ribosomal RNA, 279 nt
Filed under: uncultured bacterium
Lineage: Bacteria
Description: partial 16S ribosomal RNA
Rfam family: Bacterial small subunit ribosomal RNA
Source: RNAcentral
UGCCAGCCGCCGCGGUAACACGGGGGGCGCAAGCGUUAUUCGGAAUUAUUGGGCGUAAAGGGCGCGCAGGCGGUCUUGUCCGUCAGGUGUGAAAGCUCGGGGCUCAACCCCGGAAGUGCACUUGAAACUCCCAGUCUUGAGUUCGAGAGAGGUGAGUGGAAUUCCGAGUGUAGAGGUGAAAUUCGUAGAUAUUCGGAGGAACACCAGUGGCGAAGGCGGCUCACUGGCUCGAUACUGACGCUGAGGUGCGAAGGCGUGGGUAGCGAACGGGAUUAGAUA